This 1579-nucleotide long non-coding RNA is filed under the name Onthophagus taurus. RNAcentral's name for it is "uncharacterized LOC111429462". Lineage: Eukaryota; Metazoa; Arthropoda; Insecta; Coleoptera; Scarabaeidae. The record is from RNAcentral.
UUAAAAUUAUUUUCACUCUAAGAAAUUUUUGAUUAGACGCGUCGUUUUCUAGAUAUUUUCAAAAAGAUACAACCUCGAUUUUGGAAUCUUUUCAUUAAUCGUAGGUGCCUAUGGAAACAAAUUACAGAAGUAUGUAAAUAACUGGAAUCUGAGGUCAGUACGUACACCCCAACUAGAAGAAAACAUUUUGGAUUUUUUGGCAGAUCGUAGUACUGCCAGUACUGUUGAUAGCAACAGUUUAGACAUUUCAGAAUAUGCAAUGUCUUGGCAUGUUCUACACGAAGAGCAAUUGUAUCCAUCCAUUUCUCGAGAGUACAAGACUUUAAAAUUGCUAUGAUGGAAAAAUAUACUAUUGAUGCUGCGUUUUUAGAAAAAAGUACUUUUUACAGACAAUCAUUGUUGUUAAGUUGGGGAGUUUUAUCAAUAUAGUUAUUUUCGGUGUUCGGUGGUUGGCAGUAGUUGGGUUAUAUAUUUUAGACAGACAGAAAGUAAAAAAGCGGUGAAUGGUUUUAUUAGGUUUUAUCGAUUAUAUUUAUUUUGUUAAAGAAGUUUGUGCUUUUUUUUUAAUAAACGUUCUUUUCGUUUGACAAUUGCUGUUUAUUGAACAACCAUUAACUUGAGAAAUGCUGAAGAAUAAUUGCACUGAAGAGAAUCCAAAUUUCUUGCUACGUUGAGCAAUAAUUUGACAGAUUUCUCUCUGUAUAGCAUUGUGCCGUGGUUGCAUAUUUUCAAAAGUGAUCUUAAACAAUUUUUCAUGAUAAAAUUACAGUGUUUACCAAAUUUUGUCUUUCUAAGACAAACCAUAUUGAAAAUACUUAAGAAAAUGUUUAAAAAUGUCUUAAUUUUGAGAGCCCAUAUUUUUUGUCAAUAGUUAGUCAAAGAAUGUUAUAGCAAUACUUGAACCCACAGAGGAUUGAGCGUAAGUUCUCUAUUGCAAAAUCCCCUUUCUUACAACCCUAUAAGCCACCCUGUCGCCGUACACUUCGUAGUAAUCCAACACCAUACCUGCAGCUAACCAAAACUACAAUAAAUAGGCAUAGGCAUCUUAAAAACAUACAAGGCGUUCCAUUUAAAAUUUUCAACUUUCUUGCCACUUAAUAUGGGAAACGGUAAUUCAAUUUUUAGCCACUCUGUAUAAGAUACUCUGAUACAACAAAUGAUAGUCUAUUUGAUAGCAUUUAAAGAGUAAUCGUGCCAAUUUAGAGCUUUCUUGAAUGAACGUUGGCUGAGUAGUAAAGUAAUGCUCCCAUUGUGGCUAGGCCUUUGCCAAUAGUUUGUCAAAGAAUGUUACAGCACUACUUGAACACACAGAGGAUUGAAUGCAAGGUCUUUAUUGCAAAAUCACCUUUGUUGCAACCCCAUAAUUGCAGCUAACCAGUUCUAAUCAUCUAUAGCCGGUUCAUCUACAAGUCUCCUAAGAUAUACAUACUCUAAAAGGACCAUGCUCUUGUAUUAUAUGUAUGUUGGUAGCAUUAGCAACCAACUUCAUGGCAUAUUAUUCUGUAAGUGACACGUACGAUGAUUGUGUAAAAACUAGAUUCUCGUAUAGCUUUUGUUAAUAAAGUAAACUAAAAUUCCA